RNAcentral lists this ribosomal RNA (549 nucleotides) under uncultured bacterium. Its description in RNAcentral is "bacterial SSU rRNA". It matches the Rfam family "Bacterial small subunit ribosomal RNA", at positions 355 to 895 of the family's 1533-position model. The record is from RNAcentral.
UAGGGAAUCUUCGGCAAUGGGGGCAACCCUGACCGAGCAACGCCGCGUGAGUGAAGAAGGUUUUCGGAUCGUAAAGCUCUGUUGUAAGAGAAGAACGAGUGUGAGAGUGGAAAGUUCACGCUGUGACGGUAUCUUACCAGAAAGGGACGGCUAACUACGUGCCAGCAGCCGCGGUAAUACGUAGGUCCCGAGCGUUAUCCGGAUUUAUUGGGCGUAAAGCGAGCGCAGGCGGUUAGAUAAGUCUGAAGUUAAAGGCUGUGGCUUAACCAUAGUACGCUUUGGAAACUGUUUAACUUGAGUGCAAGAGGGGAGAGUGGAAUUCCAUGUGUAGCGGUGAAAUGCGUAGAUAUAUGGAGGAACACCGGUGGCGAAAGCGGCUCUCUGGCUUGUAACUGACGCUGAGGCUCGAAAGCGUGGGGAGCAAACAGGAUUAGAUACCCUGGUAGUCCACGCCGUAAACGAUGAGUGCUAGGUGUUAGACCCUUUCCGGGGUUUAGUGCCGUAGCUAACGCAUUAAGCACUCCGCCUGGGGAGUACGACCGCAAGGUU